Molecule: long non-coding RNA, 255 nt
Organism: Ictalurus punctatus (channel catfish)
Lineage: Eukaryota; Metazoa; Chordata; Actinopteri; Siluriformes; Ictaluridae
Source: Ensembl
UUAUUUUCUAUCCGGGAUCUGGAAGCUGUGCGUGUUCGGCGCUCAGUGUCAGCGUUGUGUGAACCCGAAGCUAAGAGUUUGAGGCCUAGCGCGAGGCCAGUAGAGGACCGUGUGGAAAAUUCGCGUUAGCGGUACAGCGGUAUGGAGUUCCCGCAACACCAGAAGCCGCCGGGGGACGGCAAGAUCAUUUACCCGCCCGGAGUGAAGGAGAUCACGGACAAAAUCAGCAACGAUGAAGUGGUGAAACGGUUAAAG